Molecule: long non-coding RNA, 470 nt
Organism: Nothoprocta perdicaria
Lineage: Eukaryota; Metazoa; Chordata; Aves; Tinamiformes; Tinamidae
Exons: 2
Source: RefSeq, a predicted model, not a curated record
ACAGAGCCAUUCACGGUGUCCCCACCCCACUCCGUGCUCCACACUCCUCUUUGCAGGUGCUAGAUUACAGGUUGUGCUGCCCAGGGCACUGCGGAGGAGUAGAGCCUGUGCAUACCAACCACCCUGCAAGUGGCAACUGUCUCUCAGAAAAGAAACAAGCUGAGCCUCCCAGAGUAUUUGGAACUCCAGGAAUGAAUCAGACAGGGGAACAGAAGAAGCUGCAUUUUAAUCCACACUGUAAGAGGAAAACAUUUUCAAMGGAGGAGGAAACAUUUCUAAGUAAACAUGAGACUGGGGAGGAAGGAAGGAAGAAAGGAAAUGAAUUCCUCCCAUCUAAUUCCUCAGCCGAGAGGACUGAUAUCUUAGGGGUCACUUGAAGGGUAAAGUGUCUUUCAGCUCCAUUUUUUCUGAUUACAAAGAGACUCUCCCAUGGCUGCUUGCUGGACCGAAUACAUCAAAUAGUUUAACGA